This is a long non-coding RNA of Microtus oregoni (creeping vole), 912 nucleotides long. RefSeq lists it as uncharacterized. The transcript is spliced from 3 exons. NCBI's taxonomy places the organism in Eukaryota, Metazoa, Chordata, Mammalia, Rodentia, Cricetidae. The record is from RefSeq and is a predicted model, not a curated record.
CUCGGUGAGAGGUUCGUGCUUCACCCAGAGGCAGAAGGCAAGUUCUCAGCAGGGAAACAAGAUGUGAUCCAGCUGUUGGAACUAUUGUUCCUGAAGGGCUGACAAUUUGGGCUCGGAUUAUCAUGGAACCGGUCCUUGGAGAAGAUGGCUCCUCCCACUCUGUUCAGUCAUUGGCUGCGUGUGGCUCUUCAUUGGAAGUGGUUGCGAAAUUUCCCCCAUACAGUUUGACAUAUCAACUAACAUAGUCAUCACGCAAGUCUUGUCUAGCUGAGGAAGAACAAAGAAACGCCGGCACUUCUCAAGGCAGAACAAACCAUCCAACAACCGCAGACCAUGAACGGCAGAACUGGUUUUCUCGAGGCUAAUUAUCCUAGGUCUUUUAAUAACUGCAGUCCUGGAGAGGCUUCUGAAGGCCUUUUGAAUCAAGUAGCAAUCCGGAAACUGUAGUCUUCACAGAGCAGCCUCUUCAGGCAGAACAAGGGCUCUGGACUCUGUGUUUUCGAUGCUCUGAUUUGGCUGAGUUUUCUUCUGAUAAAAAAAAAAACAAAACUUUAAGGACAUUGAUGGACACAGGAAGUGUGUUUACCGCAAGCGUGAUUCUUUAGACAGACUUGGUGACACACAAGAGGUGUCAGAAUCAGAAGGCUUCUUUCUGCUCCAGACUCAGAAGGGGAGCUGACAUCUUUUAUCAAAAAGACAGACAAUUCCAAUCCCUUGACGAUUCUAGAUUAUGGAUCCCAGGAGGCUCGCCUUACACCGGCGUCUUAUCACCGGAAUCAGAGUGGCUGCUGUUUAUUUUCCGAACCUCGGCAUAGUUUUCAAGGUGUUGCCUGCCAGCGGGGCCUGGGCCGACAGUGACAUGUGUUAUUGUCACAUCGCUAGAUCUGAAAGAAAACGCGAGAUAAAUAAAUA